RNAcentral lists this ribosomal RNA (481 nucleotides) under uncultured bacterium. RNAcentral describes it as "partial 16S ribosomal RNA". It matches the Rfam family "Bacterial small subunit ribosomal RNA", at positions 28 to 507 of the family's 1533-position model. The record is from RNAcentral.
GAUGAACGCUGGCGGCGUGCUUAACACAUGCGAGUCGAACGAAGCACUUUAUUUGAUUUCCUUCGGGACUGAUUAUUUUGUGACUGAGUGGCGGACGGGUGAGUAACGCGUGGGUAACCUGCCUUGUACAGGGGGAUAACAGUUGGAAACGGCUGCUAAUACCGCAUAAGCGCACAGCAUCGCAUGAUGCAGUGUGAAAAACUCCGGUGGUAUAAGAUGGACCCGCGUUGGAUUAGCUAGUUGGUGAGGUAACGGCCCACUAAGGCGACGAUCCAUAGCCGACCUGGGAGGGUGACCGGCCACAUUGGGACUGAGACCCGGACCAAAACCCGACGGGAGGGAGGGGUGGGGAAAAAUGGACAAUGGGGGAAAGCCUGAUGCAGCGACGCCGCGUGAGCGAAGAAGUAUUUCGGUAUGUAAAGCUCUAUCAGCAGGGAAGAUAAUGACGGUACCUGACUAAGAAGCACCGGCUAAAUACGUG